AGGAGUCAUACCCGUUCCCAUUCCGAACACGGAAGUCAAGCCCUCUAACGCCGAUGAUACUGGGGCUCUGAGCCUUGGGAAAGUAGGAAGAUGCCUGGU
Molecule: ribosomal RNA, 99 nt
Filed under: Treponema sp.
Lineage: Bacteria; Pseudomonadati; Spirochaetota; Spirochaetia; Treponematales; Treponemataceae
Source: RNAcentral